Vombatus ursinus (common wombat) is the source of this 1319-nucleotide long non-coding RNA. RefSeq lists it as uncharacterized. The record is from RefSeq and is a predicted model, not a curated record. The transcript is spliced from 5 exons. NCBI's taxonomy places the organism in Eukaryota, Metazoa, Chordata, Mammalia, Diprotodontia, Vombatidae.
UUGGGAGUCAUGGUGAGAGAGGAGCUGGGAAAGAUAGUGAGGUAAUAAGAGGGAUAGCAGGGACCAAGUGGGGUGACCUGGGUGUUUCUCCCAGCUUUCUGUUUGACUUCGAAUAUAACACUCCCCUUUUCUUUGUCCCUUAGUUUAUCUCUUGGUGUGACAAAUAAGGGAGCUAGUCUCUAGUGGUGUCUAGGUGAUCUUCCAGAUCUGACAUUCUCUGUUCUCUGUUCUCUGUUCUAAGAUCCCUCCCAUCUCUGACAUUCCCUGUUCUAAAGUUCCUCCCAACUUUGAUAUUUCCUGUUCUAAGGUCCCUUCCAGCUUUGAUGUUCUCUGGUCCCUCCCAUCUCUCACAUUCCCUAUUCUAAGGUCCCUGCCCAGCUCUGACUGUUCUAAAGACUUUUUCAGUUUGGAUUCCCUGUUUGGGUUUAGGUACAGGUCAGAUUUGAGAAGCAAGAAAAGGAGAUGGGAGCUUGCUUAGGGUGACAGGAGACUGAGCUUCACCUCGAGGCCAGUGGGAACAUGCUCUGUGUUGUUUACCUUCCUAGACCCAGCCUGAGGGAGCCCUCUCACUCUGUCUUUUAUCCUCCCUUCCCUCUUCUAUCCCUGUCUGGCUUCCCUGCUCUUAGAGUCACAAGCCAGAAAAGGAAUGGCCCAUAAAGAGCCUCAAAGUCUACCUGGGGGUGAAGAAGAAGUUACGACCACCUACCUGUUGGGGUCUCACUGUGGUGCACGAGACGGAGAAACACGAGAGGCAGCAGUGGUACCUUUGCUGUGAUACCCAGAUGGAGCUCAGAGAAUGGUUUGCCACCUUCUUCUUUGUACAGCAUGGUGGGACCGUCUGGCCUUCUGAGCCCUCAAGAGUGGUUCGGCCUAUACCUGAGUCGAGGCUGGGCAGUGUGUCACUCAUCCCCCUGAGAGGCAGUGAGAAUGAGAUGAGGAAGAGUGUGGCUGCCUUCACUUCUGACCCCCUGUCUGCCCAAAGCCCACCGUGACCAGGUGCUGCCCCCUCGCUCCUCUGAUAUGAGAGGGGUCCAGAUAUUCUCAGUCUCCACGAGAGAGAGGUGUAGGCCUCGUGGGGAAGUCCGGUUACAGCUGCUCAUCCCAUCAAGACUCUCUGUCCUGGACUUUGUGUGUGUUACAGAAGACGAGUCUCAACUCCUAGGGGUCUGGGUGGCAGGGUUAGCUGUGGAGCGUUGGAAUGGCUGAGGGCAGACUAUCCUGUUUUUCCCAUUUUACCCUCUACCUACUCUUCUCCCUUCAUCCGGGACCUUUUUUAAAAAACAAAUAAUAUAAAUAUAUCUGUAUAUUUUAGCCUGUGA